UAUGCACCAGGAAUGACAGUAGUCGCCUAAGCAUAUGGAAAUGAACAGGUCACUCACCAGAAGCUCAUAAUCUAGUGAGAGACAGUAGUUCACCAGAUAGUUAUAAUAAAGGUAAUAUGCCGUAUGUGUCCUCAGGGCAGGGACCACAUCCCACUCAGAAGCCAGGCCAGCGUCCCAAAUCUUAUCCUUGGUAAGCUGAAGAGAGAUCAUUCUGGGACUACCAACAAGAUCAGCCUGAGGAAGAGGACUAAUUCCACCAUGACAGCUGGGCCCUGAACCAGAGCACAUCUUCUAAUCUCAGCUUCUGGCACUGUUGCAGAGGAAGAAGUCACUUCUGGGACAUCCAAACUGCAAUCCAUCUAUAACAUUACAGAUGACUAUUGCUAUGCUGUGCACAAGGAAACAAUUAAAAAAGCUUCUUAAGAUUCUGGAGC
This is a long non-coding RNA of Symphalangus syndactylus (siamang), 434 nucleotides long. RefSeq lists it as uncharacterized. The record is from RefSeq and is a predicted model, not a curated record. NCBI's taxonomy places the organism in Eukaryota, Metazoa, Chordata, Mammalia, Primates, Hylobatidae.